GGGUUUCUGAUUUGAUUCGACUCUUUUCACUAACCCAAGUCUUUUACUCUCGAACAGUAAAGUGAACGAAACUUGAACGAGUCAUGUCGUUAAUUUUUACAGCAGGUGGCGUUGUAAAAAAGUCCGCGAUUCUCAAGCAGUAAAUACUGAAGGC
Molecule: long non-coding RNA, 154 nt
Organism: Melanotaenia boesemani (Boeseman's rainbowfish)
Lineage: Eukaryota; Metazoa; Chordata; Actinopteri; Atheriniformes; Melanotaeniidae
Exons: 3
Source: RefSeq, a predicted model, not a curated record